GACGAACGCUGGCGGCGUGCUUAACACAUGCAAGUCGAACGGAAAGGCCCUGCUUGCAGGGUACUCGAGUGGCGAACGGGUGAGUAACACUUGGGUGAUCUGCCCUUCACUUCGGGAUAAGCUUGGGAAACUGGGUCUAAUACCGGAUAGGAGCCAUCUUUAGUGUGGUGGUUGGAAAGUUUUUUCGGUGUAGGAUGAGCUCGCGGCCUAUCAGCUUGUUGGUGGGGUAAUGGCCUACCAAGGCGGCGACGGGUAGCCGGCCUGAGAGGGUGUACGGCCACAUUGGGACUGAGAUACGGCCCAGACUCCUACGGGAGGCAGCAGUGGGGAAUAUUGCACAAUGGGCGCAAGCCUGAUGCAGCGACGCCGCGUGGGGGAUGAAGGCCUUCGGGUUGUAAACUCCUUUCGCUAGGGACGAAGCUUUGUUGUGACGGUACCUAGAGAAGAAGCACCGGCUAACUACGUG
Molecule: ribosomal RNA, 466 nt
Filed under: uncultured bacterium
Lineage: Bacteria
Description: partial 16S ribosomal RNA
Rfam family: Bacterial small subunit ribosomal RNA
Source: RNAcentral